GCCUCAGUAGCACAGUGGCAGUGCGCCUGUCUCGUAAACAGGAGGUCGAGGGUUCAAAUCCCUUCUGAGGCU
RNAcentral lists this transfer RNA (72 nucleotides) under Microcaldota archaeon. RNAcentral's name for it is "tRNA-Thr". It matches the Rfam family "tRNA". From Rfam's summary of the family: Transfer RNA (tRNA) molecules are approximately 80 nucleotides in length. Their secondary structure includes four short double-helical elements and three loops (D, anti-codon, and T loops). Further hydrogen bonds mediate the characteristic L-shaped molecular structure. tRNAs have two regions of fundamental functional importance: the anti-codon, which is responsible for specific mRNA codon recognition, and the 3' end, to which the tRNAs corresponding amino acid is attached (by aminoacyl-tRNA synthetases). tRNAs cope with the degeneracy of the genetic code in two manners: having more than one tRNA (with a specific anti-codon) for a particular amino acid; and 'wobble' base-pairing, i.e. permitting non-standard base-pairing at the 3rd anti-codon position. The record is from RNAcentral. Lineage: Archaea; Nanobdellati; Microcaldota.